UGCUUAUGGCAAACCUCUGUUUCU
This 24-nucleotide non-coding RNA is filed under the name Mus musculus (house mouse). The record is from RNAcentral. Lineage: Eukaryota; Metazoa; Chordata; Mammalia; Rodentia; Muridae.